AAAGAAGCAAAUAAGGGCGAACGGUGGAUGCCUAGGCUCCCGGAGGCGAAGAAGGACGUGAUAAGCUGCGAUAAGCUACGGGUAGG
RNAcentral lists this ribosomal RNA (86 nucleotides) under Bacteroidales bacterium. Its description in RNAcentral is "partial 23S ribosomal RNA". It matches the Rfam family "Bacterial large subunit ribosomal RNA", at positions 1 to 86 of the family's 2925-position model. Lineage: Bacteria; Pseudomonadati; Bacteroidota; Bacteroidia; Bacteroidales. The record is from RNAcentral.